GGGGACGUAUUGAUUCGACGGGAUUGCACUUUAAAAACCGCAAGCCAAGAAUGAAAUCUCAUCUUGUAAAACUGUGAUUUCAAAAACUAAACGGCAUUAAAAACUCCGUUGCGAACGCAUUUAGCGCUCUUGGAGCUCUCGCAAGAGGCCCUCAAGUCGCUUACGCAUAAGCUGCUUUAGAUAAUUCUCCUCCUGAUGGAAUGUUUAAGGUAUAUACUCAGUCAGGAUGCUGCAACUUCGGUGUUGGUUGAUCCGGAAAUUGCAAAAGACAACUCAAUCAGUAUUAGGUUUUCCUGCUAGUAGGUUACAACUUAAUACAAAAAAUAUACUAGCUAAGCUUGUAGAAGUUUUUAGAAUUCUUUCUCAGACCCGAUCUCAUAGAUCGGCGUCUCCACCA
RNAcentral lists this transfer-messenger RNA (397 nucleotides) under Patescibacteria group. RNAcentral's name for it is "GWB1-36-5 sp001776785 Standard tmRNA". It matches the Rfam family "transfer-messenger RNA". From Rfam's summary of the family: Bacterial tmRNA, also known as 10Sa RNA or SsrA, is named for its dual tRNA and mRNA-like properties. RNAcentral also lists the same sequence under 2 other names. The record is from RNAcentral.